Molecule: ribosomal RNA, 1160 nt
Filed under: Myxidium oviforme
Lineage: Eukaryota; Metazoa; Cnidaria; Myxozoa; Bivalvulida; Myxidiidae
Description: SSU rRNA
Rfam family: Eukaryotic small subunit ribosomal RNA
Source: RNAcentral
AAUACCAGGUCGUUCCCAAAAGGAUUCGACACUGGAAUGAGUUUAACCUAAAAAUUUAAAUGAGUAACAACUGGAGGGCAAGUCUGGUGCCAGCAGCCGCGGUAAUUCCAGCUCCAGUAGUGUAUCCAAACGUUGCUGCGGUUAAAACGCUCGUAGUUGGACAAGAGAGUAACUUGGUGCGGGCGGGGAGUGUAAUAGCUCUAUAACUAUUUCCAUUGUAUUUAGUGUAGCUUGUUCACGAAAGUGGCAAGUUGCAUUGAUGCGAUGGGAUGAAUCAUAGUAGUAGCACUUGUCGACCAUGCUGCCAGGUUACUUGUAAUGAUUCGUGAGAAUAGUACAUGGUCUUAAUUGUACUGUGUACUGUGUCUUACGUAGUGUGCCUUGAAUAAAUCAGAGUGCUCAAAGCAAGCUAUCGCUUGAAUGUUAAUAGCAUGGAACGAAUGUGUUGUGAGAGUGUGCUGCUAGAUUGCACUUGUGUAGUCUGGUAGUACACAGCACCAACCGCGAAGCGGACCAUUGGUUGCCGACUUCGGGUGAGGAUUAAGAGGGACAUUUGGGGGCAUUAGUAUUUGGCCGCGAGAGGUGAAAUUCUUGGACCGGCCAAGGACUAUCAAGUGCGAAAGCAUUUGCCAAGUAUGUUCCCUUUAAUCAAGAACGAAAGUGAGAGGUUCGAAGACGAUCAGAUACCGUCCUAGUUCUCACCGUAAACGAUGCCAACCCGGGAUCAGUUCGGAUGAUUAUAUUUGGAUCCAGGUUGGUCCCCCUGGGAAACCUUGAGUUUUUAGGUUCCGGGGGGAGUAUGGUUGCAAAGCUGAAACUUAAAGGAAUUGACGGAAGGGCACCACCAGGGGUGGAGCCUGCGGCUCAAUUUGACUCAACACGGGAAAACUCACCUGGUCCGGACAUCGAUAGGAUUGACAGAUUGAUAGAUCUUUCAUGAUACGGUGGGUGGUGGUGCAUGGCCGUUCUUAGUUCGUGGAGCGAUCUGUCAGGUUUAUUCCGGUAACGAACGAGACCACGUUCUUCAUUUGGGGAACUAGAAGACAAGUGAUACUGGUCGUUGUAAUGAUGGAGACUGUCGCUUACGCGAUAGUCAAAGUUAUGUGAUGAUUGGGAUCAUUUGAACUUCUUGUGUGCGUGCAGCAAUGUGCGUCCCUAUG